UGACAGUGUGCAGAAAGAGAGAGAGAGGUCAGUCCUGACAGUGCCCAGAGAGAGAGACGGGUCAGUAGUAACAGUGCCCAGAGAGAGAGACAGGUCAGUACUGACAGUACCCAGAGAGCGAGACGGGUCAGUAGUAAUAGUGCCCAGAGAGAGAGACGGGUCAGUGGUGACAGCACCCAGAGAGAGAGACGGGUCAGUAGUGACAGUCCCCCGAGAGAGAGAGACGGGUCAGCAGUGACAGUACCCAGAGAGAGAGACGGGUCAGUAGUAACAGUACCCAGAGAGAGAGACAGGUCAGUACUGACAGUACCCAGAGAGAGAGACGGGUCAGCGGUGACAGUCCCCCGAGAGAGAGAGACGGGUCAGCAGUGACAGUACCCAGAGAGAGAGACGGGUCAGUAGUAACAGUGCCCAGAGAGAGAGACAGGUCAGUACUGACAGUACCCAGAGAGUGAGACGGGUCAGUAGUAACAGUGCCCAGAGAGAGAGAAGGGUCAGUACUGACAGUACCCAGAGAGAGAGACGGGUCAGCGGUGACAGUCCCCAGAGAGAGAGAGAGACUGGUCGGCGCUGACAGUACCCCCAGAGAGCGAGACGGGUCAGCAGUAACAGUACCCAGAGAGAGAGACAGGUCAGUACUGACAGUACCCAGAGAGAGAGACGGGUCAGUAGUAACAGUGCCCAGAGAGAGAGACAGGUCAGUGGUGACAGUCCCCAGAGAGAGAGACGGGUCAGCAGUGACAGUCCCCCGAGAGAGAGAGACGGGUCAGUAGUGACAGUCCCCCCAGAGAGAGAGACGGGUCAGCAGUGACAGUCCCCCGAGAGCGAGACGGGUCAGCGGUGACAGUCCCCCGAGAGAGAGAGACGGGUCAGCAGUGACAGACCCCAGAGAGAGAGAUGGGUCAGUAGUAACAGUACCCAGAGAGAGAGACGGGUCAGCGGUGACAGUCCCCCGAGAGAGAGAGACGGGUCGGCGCUGACAGACCCCCGAGAGCCAGCCCCCGGCCUCAGUCCUGCCUGUGGUUGGGGGCGCCGGCGCUGGGGCUGCCCUGGGGCUCGGAGAAGAGCCUCAGCUUGCUGUGCAGCUGGGCGCCCAGGUAGGCGCAGUCCUGGGGGUCCAGCGAGUGCCCCAGGCCGAGGUAGGCCGUCAGGCCGGCGGCCAGCAGCAGGCGGUC
RNAcentral lists this long non-coding RNA (1175 nucleotides) under Lepisosteus oculatus (spotted gar). Its description in RNAcentral is "lncRNA (ENSLOCG00000022241.1)". Lineage: Eukaryota; Metazoa; Chordata; Actinopteri; Semionotiformes; Lepisosteidae. The record is from RNAcentral.